RNAcentral lists this unclassified non-coding RNA (284 nucleotides) under uncultured fungus. Its description in RNAcentral is "sequence contains ITS1". The record is from RNAcentral. Lineage: Eukaryota; Fungi.
AUCAUGACUUCGGUUCGCAUGCCUAAGAGUCGAACGUGUUGUGCCAUAAUGAAACAAAGGCGAAAUGACUUGUCCUCUUCGGAGGAUAGGUGAAUUCCCUUGCCCCACGGAUGGGCAUAACGGCUGGGACUAGUUCCGGCCUGUAGAGUACCAUACAUACGCCUAGCGUAAGUGCUCUAUGGGUGUCUGCGAAACAGCCGAUAUGAUCUAUACGUGCCGGGUUUUUGUCGAUAGACAAUCGACUUCCCGACCUCAACUCAGGUGUGAUUACCCGCUGAACUUAA